GGAGGACCAACCAUUGCCGUCCUUAUUCCAUUUCAACACCAGCUGGAACAUCCCCAAGGGGACAAAGCAGGGAGCAAACCCAAGGCUCACUGAAAACUUGACUGGGAUGCAAAGCAGAGCCCAGGACAGCAGGGUCUUGGCACUGCCAAACACGGAAACUAACUCAGGUGUCUACGGGAGAGGCCUUCUGAAGGUCAGGCCAACAACCCUUGUCGCCAAACACAUAAGCAGCUCCCGUGAUGGGAAUUUCACUGGGCAGGGAGGAGAGGAUGGGACAGAGCCAGACUGGCCUGAUUGGCGAGAUAUUACGAGACACUGGGCCUUUGGGCCCCCGUAAGUCAGACUCUGCGGAUGCCGUCUGCCCUGUCUUUCUUAGACCCAGCCCUGAAACGCGCCUCCCAUGGCAACUCUGACAGAACCUUUUCCGUCCUGCAUGGCUCUCACCUGUCCUCUGACGCACCAUCAUAACGUGACACAUAAGUGGUAGGUACUUAUGGGGACUUCCAGUGCAGAGAUGGAAGAUACCAAAAACAAAACAAAACAGAGAAACAGCAACCACCACAAACCCAAGAGGCCACCAACAAAACACAACAACAACAAAAUUUCACAGACCAGCUGGAGACAACACCCCCACAGACAAAUGUAGAGGGAAGAAUAAGAGUUUUGGAGUCCAUGAGGCCUGAAUAAACACCUGGUCUGUGACAUUUACUA
This is a long non-coding RNA of Lutra lutra (Eurasian river otter), 711 nucleotides long. RefSeq lists it as uncharacterized. NCBI's taxonomy places the organism in Eukaryota, Metazoa, Chordata, Mammalia, Carnivora, Mustelidae. The record is from RefSeq and is a predicted model, not a curated record. The transcript is spliced from 3 exons.